This 424-nucleotide ribosomal RNA is filed under the name Verrucomicrobiota bacterium. Its description in RNAcentral is "Verrucomicrobia bacterium partial 16S ribosomal RNA". It matches the Rfam family "Bacterial small subunit ribosomal RNA", at positions 355 to 776 of the family's 1533-position model. Lineage: Bacteria; Pseudomonadati; Verrucomicrobiota. The record is from RNAcentral.
UGAGGAAUAUUGGUCAAUGGACGCAAGUCUGAACCAGCCAAGUAGCGUGCAGGAUGACGGCCCUAUGGGUUGUAAACUGCUUUUAUAUGGGGAUAAAGUGGGGAACGUGUUCCCUUUUGCAGGUACCAUAUGAAUAAGGACCGGCUAAUUCCGUGCCAGCAGCCGCGGUAAUACGGAAGGUUCGGGCGUUAUCCGGAUUUAUUGGGUUUAAAGGGAGCGUAGGCCGUUUGGUAAGCGUGUUGUGAAAUGUAGGAGCUCAACUUCUAGAUUGCAGCGCGAACUGUCAGACUUGAGUGCGCACAACGUAGGCGGAAUUCAUGGUGUAGCGGUGACAUGCUUAGAUAUCAUGAAGAACUCCGAUUGCGAAAGCAGCUUACGGGGGCGCAACUGACGCUGAAGCUCGAAGGUGCGGGUAUCGAACAGG